GGGUUGGUGGUGUAAUGGCUACCAUUUCUGCUUCAUAAGCAGAAGGUCAUGGGUUCAAUCUUAGGUCCGCCCCU
RNAcentral lists this transfer RNA (74 nucleotides) under Aedes aegypti (yellow fever mosquito). It matches the Rfam family "tRNA". Rfam says of the family: Transfer RNA (tRNA) molecules are approximately 80 nucleotides in length. Their secondary structure includes four short double-helical elements and three loops (D, anti-codon, and T loops). Further hydrogen bonds mediate the characteristic L-shaped molecular structure. tRNAs have two regions of fundamental functional importance: the anti-codon, which is responsible for specific mRNA codon recognition, and the 3' end, to which the tRNAs corresponding amino acid is attached (by aminoacyl-tRNA synthetases). tRNAs cope with the degeneracy of the genetic code in two manners: having more than one tRNA (with a specific anti-codon) for a particular amino acid; and 'wobble' base-pairing, i.e. permitting non-standard base-pairing at the 3rd anti-codon position. Lineage: Eukaryota; Metazoa; Arthropoda; Insecta; Diptera; Culicidae. The record is from Rfam by way of RNAcentral.